This 908-nucleotide ribosomal RNA is filed under the name Laminatubus alvini. RNAcentral describes it as "SSU rRNA". It matches the Rfam family "Eukaryotic small subunit ribosomal RNA", at positions 111 to 960 of the family's 1831-position model. The record is from RNAcentral. Lineage: Eukaryota; Metazoa; Annelida; Polychaeta; Sabellida; Serpulidae.
UGUGAUUUCUUAGAUCGUUGCGUCCCUUCGGGGACGACUGGAUAACUGUGGCAAUUCUAGAGCUAAUACAUGCAAUCAAGCUCCGACCUCACGGGACGAGCGCUCUUAUUAGACCAAGGCCAACCUGCCAGGCAACUGGUAGUUAGCUGUGGUGACUCUGGAUAAAGCACAGUUAAUCGCACGACCUUUGCGUCGGCGAUGUAUCUUUCAAGCGUAUGCCCUAUCAGCUGUCGACGGUAGGGUAGCGGCCUACCGUGGCAUCUACGGGUAACGGGGGAUCAGGGUCCGAUCCCGGAGAGUAAGCCUGAGAGACGGCUUACACAUCUAAGGAAGGCAGCAGGCGCGCAAAUUACCCAAUGGGGACACCCUGAGGUAGUGACAAGAAAUAACAAUACGCGACUCUUUCGAGGCCGCGUAAUUGGAAUGAGCACAUUCUAAAUCCUUUAGCGAGGAUCAAUUGGAGGGCAAGUCUGGUGCCAGCAGCCGCGGUAAUUCCAGCUCCAAUAGCGUAUAUUAAAGUUGCUGCAGUUAAAAAGCUCGUAGUUGACAAUCGGCGCUCGUCUCGGCGGUCCUGUUCACGCAGGCACUGCCUUGACGGCUUCUACACACUGGCUUGCGGUCGUGCACGCUCGGCGACGGGUAGCACGCACCGGAGCCCCGGGUGCCCUUCAUUGGGUGCCCGCGGGUGGCCUUUGCGUUUACUUUGAAGAAAUUAGAGUGUUCAAAGCGGGCUCUUGACAGCUCGUAUACUCGGUACAUGGAAUAAUGGAAUAGGACCCUGGUUCAUUUCCGUUGGUCUAUGGACAAUGGGUAAUGAUUAAAAGGGACUGCCGGGGGCAUUGGUAUGGCGGGGGGAGAGGUGAAAUUCUGUGAUCCUCGCCAGACCGACUACAGCGAAAGCAUUGCCA